CAGUAGCCGCGGUAAUACAGAGGGUGCGAGCGUUAAUCGGAUUUACUGGGCGUAAAGCGUGCGUAGGCGGCUUUUUAAGUCGGAUGUGAAAUCACUGAGCUUAACUUAGGAAUUGCAUUCGAUACUGGGAAGCUAGAGUAUGGGAGAGGAUGGUAGAAUUCCAGGUGUAGCGGUGAAAUGCGUAGAGAUCUGGAGGAAUACCGAUGGCGAAGGCAGCCAUCUGGCCUAAUACUGACGCUGAGGUACGAAAGCAUGGGGAGCAAACAGGAUUAGAUACCCCCGUAGUCCCUGUCUCUUAUAC
RNAcentral lists this ribosomal RNA (301 nucleotides) under uncultured bacterium. RNAcentral describes it as "partial 16S ribosomal RNA". It matches the Rfam family "Bacterial small subunit ribosomal RNA", at positions 509 to 807 of the family's 1533-position model. The record is from RNAcentral.